AGAUCCCAGCAGAAACAGACAGAUCGUCCAGCAGCUAGCUGUCAUCUUCUUUGGCAUUUGCAAUGACCCACUAUUGAUCUGCAAGAAAGUGACUGAAAGAAGCCAUUAUGAAACCUGGCAGACGCCACAGCUUGCUGGCAGUUUAAAGCUGGGCAAGACGUUUUGGUCAAUGGGUUUUGCAAGGGGUUCAAGCAUGGCAGAUAAACAGUACACAAGACCUUGAUAAAAAAGACUGUAAAAGGCAAAACACAAGAGAGGAUCCAAUAAGAAAUUUAUGGGAAUUAAAGGUGCUGUAAUCCUACUACCUGACGGAUAUCAUUAAAAUUAAUGCUCUGAGAUAUUACUCUCAUCUAAAGACUGUGUAAACCAAGGAGUUCUAAUAUACCUUGAGAAAGCUGUGAGGUUGUGUAAAAUGCCCAGUAUCAGUUACUGCACCAUUAAUCAAUUAAAAAUUGUCAGAACGUUAUUUAAAGACACCAGAUUGUUUAGUCUAUCUAAGUGCUGAUGUGAAAAUACUCUUAAUGUUUUCAGCAAUACCCAUUUGGACAAAUUGCCU
This is a long non-coding RNA of Labeo rohita (rohu), 556 nucleotides long. RefSeq lists it as uncharacterized. Lineage: Eukaryota; Metazoa; Chordata; Actinopteri; Cypriniformes; Cyprinidae. The record is from RefSeq and is a predicted model, not a curated record. The transcript has 3 exons.